ACAAGCGGCGGAGCAUGCGGAUUAAUUCGAUGCAACGCGAAGAACCUUACCAAGGCUUGACAUAUACGAGAACGCUGCAGAAAUGUAGAACUCUUGGACACUCGUAAACAGGUGGUGCAUGGUUGUCGUCAGCUCGUGUCGUGAGAUGUUGGGUUAAGUCCCGCAACGAGCGCAACCCUCGUUUCUAUGUUGCCAGCACGUAAUGGUGGGAACUCAUGGGAUACUGCCGGGGUCAACUCGGAGGAAGGUGGGGAUGACGUCAAAUCAUCAUGCCCCUUAUGUCUUGGGCUUCACGCAUGCUACAAUGGCCGGUACAAAGGGCUGCAAUACCGUAAGGUGGAGCGAAUCCCAAAAAGCCGGUCCCAGUUCGGAUUGAGGUCUGCAACUCGACCUCAUGAAGUCGGAGUCGCUAGUAAUCGCAGAUCAGCAACGCUGCGGUGAAUACGUUCCCGGGUCUU
Molecule: ribosomal RNA, 458 nt
Filed under: uncultured Microbacterium sp.
Lineage: Bacteria; Bacillati; Actinomycetota; Actinomycetes; Micrococcales; Microbacteriaceae
Description: bacterial SSU rRNA
Rfam family: Bacterial small subunit ribosomal RNA
Source: RNAcentral